This 342-nucleotide long non-coding RNA is filed under the name Pongo abelii (Sumatran orangutan). RNAcentral describes it as "lincRNA". Lineage: Eukaryota; Metazoa; Chordata; Mammalia; Primates; Hominidae. The record is from RNAcentral.
UAAAGUGACAGCAAGUUUUUUAAGAAAGUAAAGGAAUAAGGCAGGGUGCAGUGGCUCACACCUGUAAUCCCAGCACUUUGGGAGGCUGAGCAUUACAGGCGUGAACCACCGUGCCUGGCCAAAAUGUAAUUUUAAAAAUAAUUUUUAAAAUCAUUAUACAAUUUCCUAGAAACGAUUUAACCCAAUUUAAAGAUUUACAUUUCUUUCCUUGUACUUCAGUGAAAAACUAUAGGAUUCAUAAAUCAAGGUGGUAUUUUCAGAUUUGUGUGGCAAAAGAAUAUACAGAGAACUGACAGAUGUAAAGGAUGUAUUCUAUCAAUAUGUGGAGGGUCCCUUACAUUU